AUUGAACGCUGGCGGCAUGCCUUACACAUGCAAGUCGAACGGUAACAGGUCUUCGGAUGCUGACGAGUGGCGAACGGGGGAGUAAUACAUCGGAACGUGCCUAGUAGUGGGGGAUAACUACUCGAAAGAGUGGCUAAUACCGCAUGAGAUCUACGGAUGAAAGCAGGGGAUCGCAAGACCUUGUGCUACUAGAGCGGCCGAUGGCAGAUUAGGUAGUUGGUGGGAUAAAAGCUUACCAAGCCGACGAUCUGUAGCUGGUCUGAGAGGACGAUCAGCCACACUGGGACUGAGACACGGCCCAGACUCCUACGGGAGGAAGCAGUGGGGAAUUUGGGACAAUGGGCGAAAGCCUGAGCCAGCAAUGCCGCGUGCAGGAUGAAGGCCUUCGGAUUGUAAACUGCUUUUGUACGGAACGAAAAGCCCCGGGUUAAUACCCUGGGGUCAUGACGGUACCGUAAGAAUAAGCACCGGCUAACUACGUGCCAGCCGCCGCGGUAA
Molecule: ribosomal RNA, 498 nt
Filed under: uncultured bacterium
Lineage: Bacteria
Description: partial 16S ribosomal RNA
Rfam family: Bacterial small subunit ribosomal RNA
Source: RNAcentral